Molecule: ribosomal RNA, 456 nt
Filed under: Klebsiella pneumoniae
Lineage: Bacteria; Pseudomonadati; Pseudomonadota; Gammaproteobacteria; Enterobacterales; Enterobacteriaceae
Description: bacterial SSU rRNA
Rfam family: Bacterial small subunit ribosomal RNA
Source: RNAcentral
UUGUAGAGGGGGGUAGAAUUCCAGGUGUAGCGGUGAAAUGCGUAGAGAUCUGGAGGAAUACCGGUGGCGAAGGCGGCCCCCUGGACAAAGACUGACGCUCAGGUGCGAAAGCGUGGGGAGCAAACAGGAUUAGAUACCCUGGUAGUCCACGCCGUAAACGAUGUCGAUUUGGAGGUUGUGCCCUUGAGGCGUGGCUUCCGGAGCUAACGCGUUAAAUCGACCGCCUGGGGAGUACGGCCGCAAGGUUAAAACUCAAAUGAAUUGACGGGGGCCCGCACAAGCGGUGGAGCAUGUGGUUUAAUUCGAUGCAACGCGAAGAACCUUACCUGGUCUUGACAUCCACAGAACUUUCCAGAGAUGGAUUGGUGCCUUCGGGAACUGUGAGACAGGUGCUGCAUGGCUGUCGUCAGCUCGUGUUGUGAAAUGUUGGGUUAAGUCCCGCAACGAGCGCAACCC